AAAGAAAAAAUAAACUUGACAAAGGAAAUAUAGCAUGUACG
This 41-nucleotide small RNA is filed under the name Arabidopsis thaliana (thale cress). RNAcentral describes it as "ATSL219570". The record is from RNAcentral. Lineage: Eukaryota; Viridiplantae; Streptophyta; Magnoliopsida; Brassicales; Brassicaceae.